RNAcentral lists this ribosomal RNA (465 nucleotides) under Vreelandella stevensii. RNAcentral describes it as "partial 16S ribosomal RNA". It matches the Rfam family "Bacterial small subunit ribosomal RNA", at positions 338 to 795 of the family's 1533-position model. The record is from RNAcentral. Lineage: Bacteria; Pseudomonadati; Pseudomonadota; Gammaproteobacteria; Oceanospirillales; Halomonadaceae.
CCUACGGGGGGCUGCAGUGGGGAAUAUUGGACAAUGGGGGGAACCCUGAUGCAGCAAUGCCGCGUGUGUGAAGAAGGCCUUCGGGUUGUAAAGCACUUUCCGUGAGGAAGAACGCCUGGUGGUUAAUACGCAUAAGCAAAGACAUCACUCACACAAGAAGCACCGGCUAACUCCGUGCCAGCAGCCGCGGUAAUACGGAGGGUGCGGGCGUUAAUCGGAAUUACUGGGCGUAAAGCGCGCGUAGGUGGCUGGAUAAGCCGGUUGUGAAAGCCCCGGGCUCAACCUGGGAACGGCAGCCGGAACUGUGAAGCUAGAGUGCAGGAGAGGAAGGUAGAAUUCCCGGUGUAGCGGUGAAAUGCGUAGAGAGCGGGAGGAAUACCAGUGGUGAAGGCGGCCUUCUGGACUGACACUGACACUGAGGUGCGAAAGCGUGGGUAGCAAACAGGAUUAGAUACCCUAGUAGUC